This is a non-coding RNA of Cinara cedri, 1348 nucleotides long. Lineage: Eukaryota; Metazoa; Arthropoda; Insecta; Hemiptera; Aphididae. The record is from the annotation of a GenBank genome assembly.
GCGCGUAUAUAAGUAACCAAGUUGUUUAUUUAUUAUUCAAUAUGAACGUUUGGUAUUAAUGCUAUAACAACAAAGCUGUAAGUGUAUUAUUAUUACAAAAAAUUUGGCAUUUCUCGAGCUCAAUCCUUUCAAAAACAAAUCAAUGAAAGAAAUUUAAUUUAAGGUGUCUCUUCUUUCCCACUCUAAUGUCUUAUGACGUUUGGAUAUUGGAAGAUAUUGGAUAAAUAAGGGGGUAAUUGAAUUUAAUUUAUACACAAAAAGCAACGAUAAACAAUUGCAAUCGAGAAACGAUGUCAUUCGAAACGCAGUAAACUAGCAAGAACAGUUGGUUAGUCUAACUUUCCUCCAUGUAGCAGUUGAAGCUAAGGUAACUCAGUAAUCAACAAAAGUAAAAUCUAUGUUAGUUUUUCCUUAUUUUGUAAUUGUUUAAAAAAUCUCGUAGGAAUCUUGAAACGUUAAUCUAAACAUUUAUAGUAAAAAAAUUACUACACUUUUUAGCACAUAUAUAACUUAAAAAGUUAAUAUAAACCUUCAUAUAUCAAAUUUUCGAAAAAUUUUUAUGGGUCAAAAAGAUUAGCGAAAAACUCCCAAAAGUUAAACAAAAAAUAAUGUCUAUGCUAAAUACCGUGAUUGUUAUUAUAAUUUUAACUUUAAACGCUAACCAACAAUAUUUCUGACUAAAGUUGUUUGAUAAUUUUUGUGUCAUAUAAAACUUAUGAUGAACCUUGUAUCAAAUUGUUGAGCAUUUUUGAAAAGUCAAACAAAUUGUAUCUACAUAAACUCAAAAUAUUUCGAAUGUUUACAAAUCUAUAAAAGGGUAAUAAUUCGUUAAAAAUGUCAGGUCUCUACGAUUAUUUCUAACUGAAUAAAACCGAAAAAAGAAAACUGUAGAGGCCUAAAAAAAAAACUAUUCGGAGUGAAGUUCAGCUAUACAUGUAUUGAAAGCUCGUAUACGAUUUUCAUCAAAAUUUGAUUUUAAAACUUUUAAAUGAAAAAGAGACAUAAUUCAUACGAUGAGUGCAGCCAUUGUUGUUGGUGAGAAGUUGGUAAGCUUAAAGAGGGGAAAUUAAUUUGUGUCUGUAAGCAACGAUAAACCAUUGCUAAUUGUAACUAAACCUUAUUGAGCGAAGUUUAAUUGAUAGUGAUGCUUUGUCAACAAUAUAACAUGACAUAAUAUGAUGAAAUAAUUAAAUAGGCAUUAGAUAUUUUCUUUAAUAAUAAUCGUUUAAUAUUGUACCAAUUUUCCCGUUUUUUCUACGUUUUCCAUAUAUUUUCCCGUUUAUCCUCUGUUUUUUUUUUUUCGGUUUUUCAAAUUUGAUAAGAAAAUCAGAAAAUGACCUCUCUAAAG